GAUGAAGAACGUAGCGAAAUGCGAUAAGUAAUGUGAAUUGCAGAAUUCAGUGAAUCAUCGAAUCUUUGAACGCACCUUGCGCUCCUUGGUAUUCCGAGGAGCAUGCCUGUUUGAGUGUCAUUAAAUUCUCAACCUUAUUAGCUUUUGCUGAUAAUGGCUUGGACUUGGGGGUCUUUUUGCUGGCUUUCAUUAGUCUGCUCCCCUUAAAUGUAUUAGCCGGUGCCCCGCAGUGGAACCGUCUAUUGGUGUGAUAAUUAUCUACGCCGUGGACGUCUGCUAUAAUGGGUUUGCGCUGCUUCUAACCUUCUCUCGGGACAACACAAAUGACAAUUUGACCUCAAAUCAGGUAGGACUACCCGCUGAACUUAAGCAUAUCAAUAAGCGGAGGA
This 389-nucleotide unclassified non-coding RNA is filed under the name soil metagenome. Its description in RNAcentral is "partial contains 5.8S ribosomal RNA, internal transcribed spacer 2, and large subunit ribosomal RNA". The stretch from base 1 to 120 matches the Rfam family "5.8S ribosomal RNA", at positions 35 to 154 of the family's 154-position model. The record is from RNAcentral.